GGCCUGCUCGCGCUGGCGUUGGUGGGUGAUUUCGCGAAUCACCCCGAUCAUUCGGGGCCGGCCGUUCUUGUCUGGCAGCAGGCUGCC
This 87-nucleotide transfer RNA is filed under the name Pseudomonas fluorescens. Its description in RNAcentral is "tRNA-Ala". Lineage: Bacteria; Pseudomonadati; Pseudomonadota; Gammaproteobacteria; Pseudomonadales; Pseudomonadaceae. The record is from RNAcentral.